Molecule: ribosomal RNA, 528 nt
Filed under: uncultured bacterium
Lineage: Bacteria
Description: bacterial SSU rRNA
Rfam family: Bacterial small subunit ribosomal RNA
Source: RNAcentral
CCUGGAGCAUAAGCUCCGGCUAACUCCGUGCCAGCAGCCGCGGUAAUACGGAGGGAGCUAGCGUUGUUCGGAAUUACUGGGCGCAAAGCGUGCGUAGGCGGCUAUUCAAGUCAGUGGUGAAAGCCUGGAGCCCAACUCCAGAACUGCCUUUGAAACUAGAUAGCUAGAAUCUUGGAGAGGUGAGUGGAAUUCCGAGUGUAGAGGUGAAAUUCGUAGAUAUUCGGAAGAACACCAGUGGCGAAGGCGACUCACUGGACAAGUAUUGAAGCUGAGGUACGAAAGCGUGGGGAGCAAACAGGAUUCGAUACCCUGGUAGUCCAUGCUGUAAACGAUGAUAACUAGCUGUCCGGGCUCUCAGAGCUUGGGUGGCGCAGUAACGCAUUAAGUUAUCCGCCUGGGGAGUACGGUCGCAAGAUUAAAACUCAAAGGAAUUGACGGGGGCCUGCACUAGCAGUGGAGCAUGUGGUUUAAUUCGAAGCAACGCGCAGAACCUUAUCAGCGUUUGACAUACCGGUCGCGGAUUUCAGA